UCUCCUGCCCUAACCAUCCUUGUGGUAAAAAUGCAAUUUGUUUGUCCUCUGGGGAGGUUUAAAAUCUCAGCUCCUCAAAGCAUCCUCCUCUUUAUUAUUUUAAAGAAGAGAAUGAGGAAAUUGGCUGGGAAAUAAGCCUCGCCCUAUAGAGGGCCCCGUGUCUGAGACAGGCAAAGGACUCUUGAUGGAUGGAAACUAAAAAGGCUGGCUCUGGAGGAAUAGACCAAGGAAUUAGGAAAUCAAGUUGUCUGUAGAGGGUCAGGUGGUGCCUCCGUGGGAUCUAGGAUGUUGAUGGCAGGAGGAGCUUGGAGAUCAUUUAUAUUCAAAGGCCUCGUGGUUGACCCAGCAUGGUUCUGAGGGAUUUAGUUUUCCAAAGUAAUUGCUAUGUGGAUUUGUGUUGCAGCGGGGACUCAAACUCUGGUCUGCUACCUUCAGAGGUGGCUCACAGAGCCUGGAUGCAUUUACUUAAAGGCUGAGUGACCACUGGAGCAAGGGCUUUCCUUUCAGAUGUGUUCCAUGCGAAGAGGCUGGAUGGCUGACCACUCCUGUAUCCAGACCUUGGCUUAUCUGGAGACUCCCACUAAUUUUGGAAUUGCUUAAUUUGCAAGCAUGCAAAAAAGAGGUGUAAUUAUUGA
This is a long non-coding RNA of Peromyscus californicus insignis, 635 nucleotides long. RefSeq lists it as uncharacterized. The record is from RefSeq and is a predicted model, not a curated record. Lineage: Eukaryota; Metazoa; Chordata; Mammalia; Rodentia; Cricetidae. The transcript is spliced from 3 exons.